CACGUAGGGUGCGAGCGUUGUCCGGAAUUAUUGGGCGUAAAGAGCUCGUAGGCGGUCCGUCACGUCGGAUGUGAAAUUCCAGGGCUCAACCCUGGACCUGCAUUCGAUACGGGCGGACUAGAGUUCGGUAGGGGAGACUGGAAUUCCUGGUGUAGCGGUGAAAUGCGCAGAUAUCAGGAGGAACACCGGUGGCGAAGGCGGGUCACUGGCCCGGUACUGACGCUGAGGUGCGAAAGCGUGGGGAGCAAACAGG
This 253-nucleotide ribosomal RNA is filed under the name uncultured bacterium. RNAcentral's name for it is "partial 16S ribosomal RNA". It matches the Rfam family "Bacterial small subunit ribosomal RNA", at positions 524 to 776 of the family's 1533-position model. The record is from RNAcentral.